RNAcentral lists this ribosomal RNA (401 nucleotides) under uncultured bacterium. RNAcentral describes it as "bacterial SSU rRNA". It matches the Rfam family "Bacterial small subunit ribosomal RNA", at positions 356 to 773 of the family's 1533-position model. The record is from RNAcentral.
GGGGAAUAUUGCACAAUGGGCGCAAGCCUGAUGCAGCAACGCCGCGUGAAGGAAGACGGUUUUCGGAUUGUAAACUUCUGUUCUUAGUGAAGAAUAAUGACGGUAGCUAAGGAGCAAGCCACGGCUAACUACGUGCCAGCAGCCGCGGUAAUACGUAGGUGGCAAGCGUUGUCCGGAAUUACUGGGUGUAAAGGGAGCGCAGGCGGGUGAUCAAGUCAGCUGUGAAGACUACGGGCUUAACCCGUAGACUGCAGUUGAAACUGUUCAUCUUGAGUGAAGUAGAGGUUGGCGGAAUUCCGAGUGUAGCGGUGAAAUGCGUAGAUAUUCGGAGGAACACCGGUGGCGAAGGCGGCCAACUGGGCUUUAACUGACGCUGAGGCUCGAAAGUGUAGGGAGCAAAC